RNAcentral lists this ribosomal RNA (450 nucleotides) under uncultured bacterium. RNAcentral describes it as "partial 16S ribosomal RNA". It matches the Rfam family "Bacterial small subunit ribosomal RNA", at positions 354 to 796 of the family's 1533-position model. The record is from RNAcentral.
GUGGGGAAUAUUGGACAAUGGGCGAAAGCCUGAUCCAGCCAUGCCGCGUGUGUGAAGAAGGUCUUCGGAUUGUAAAGCACUUUAAGUUGGGAGGAAGGGCAGUAAGUUAAUACCUUGCUGUUUUGACGUUACCGACAGAAUAAGCACCGGCUAACUUCGUGCCAGCAGCCGCGGUAAUACGAAGGGUGCAAGCGUUAAUCGGAAUUACUGGGCGUAAAGCGCGCGUAGGUGGUUUUGUAAGUUGGAGGUGAAAUCCCCGGGCUCAACCUGGGAACUGCCUCCACAACUGCAUGACUAGAGUACGGUAGAGGGUAGUGGAAUUUCCUGUGUAGCGGUGAAAUGCGUAGAUAUAGGAAGGAACACCAGUGGCGAAGGCGACUACCUGGACUGAUACUGACACUGAGGUGCGAAAGCGUGGGGAGCAAACAGGAUUAGAUACCCGGGUAGUCC